This 426-nucleotide ribosomal RNA is filed under the name uncultured bacterium. RNAcentral describes it as "bacterial SSU rRNA". It matches the Rfam family "Bacterial small subunit ribosomal RNA", at positions 356 to 773 of the family's 1533-position model. The record is from RNAcentral.
GGGGAAUUUUCCGCAAUGGGCGAAAGCCUGACGGAGUGACGCCGCGUGUGGGACGAAGGCCUUCGGGUCGUAAACCACUGUUAGUGGGAAAGAUGGGCGCCGGCGUGAUAACCGCCGGUGUCUGACGGUACCUGCAGCGGAAGCCCCGGCUAACUCUGUGCCAGCAGCCGCGGUAAGACAGAGGGGGCAAGCGUUGCUCGGACUUACUGGGCGUAAAGGGCGCGUAGGCGGGAUGGCAAGUCGGUCGUGAAAUCCCUCGGCUCAACUGAGGAACGUCGAUCGAUACUGCCGUUCUUGAGGGUUGCAGAGGAGGCUGGAAUUCCCGGUGUAGCGGUGAAAUGUGUAGAGAUCGGGAGGAACACCGGUGGCGAAGGCGGGUCUCUGGGCAACUCCUGACGCUGAGGCGCGAAAGCGUGGGGAGCAAAC